UGGGGAAUAUUGGACAAUGGGCGCAAGCCUGAUCCAGCCAUGCCGCGUGAGUGACGAAGGCCUUAGGGUUGUAAAGCUCUUUUGGCGGGGAAGAUAAUGACGGUACUCGGAGAAGAAGCUCCGGCUAACUUCGUGCCAGCAGCCGCGGUAAUACGAAGGGGGCUAGCGUUGUUCGGAUUUACUGGGCGUAAAGCGCGUGUAGGCGGGUCGUUAAGUUGGGGGUGAAAUCCCGAGGCUCAACCUCGGAACUGCCUUCAAAACUGGCGACCUGGACCUAAGUAGAGGCAAGUGGAAUUGCGAGUGUAGAGGUGAAAUUCGUAGAUAUUCGCAGGAACACCAGUGGCGAAGGCGACUUGCUGGACUUAUGGUGACGCUGAGACGCGAAAGCGUGGGGAGCAAACAGGAUUAGAUACCCACGUAGUCCCUGAGCGGGCUGGCAAGGCGCAU
Molecule: ribosomal RNA, 447 nt
Filed under: uncultured bacterium
Lineage: Bacteria
Description: bacterial SSU rRNA
Rfam family: Bacterial small subunit ribosomal RNA
Source: RNAcentral